CCUACGGGAGGCAGCAGUGGGGAAUCUUCCACAAUGGGGGAAACCCUGAUGCAGCGACGCCGCGUGAGCGAAGAAGUAUUUCGGUAUGUAAAGCUCUAUCAGCAGGGAAGAAAAAUGACUGUACCUGAAGAAGAAGCACCGGCUAACUACGUGCCAGCAGCCGCGGUAAUACGUAGGGUGCAAGCGUUAUCCGGAUUUACUGGGUGUAAAGGGCGAGUAGACGGCGUUGCAAGUCAGAUGUGAAAGGCUAGGGCUCAACCUUAGGAGAGCAUCUGAAACUGUAAUGCUAGAGUGCAGGAGAGGUA
RNAcentral lists this ribosomal RNA (305 nucleotides) under uncultured bacterium. Its description in RNAcentral is "bacterial SSU rRNA". It matches the Rfam family "Bacterial small subunit ribosomal RNA", at positions 338 to 659 of the family's 1533-position model. The record is from RNAcentral.